Long non-coding RNA from Apis dorsata (giant honeybee), 439 nucleotides. RefSeq lists it as uncharacterized. The record is from RefSeq and is a predicted model, not a curated record. NCBI's taxonomy places the organism in Eukaryota, Metazoa, Arthropoda, Insecta, Hymenoptera, Apidae. The transcript has 3 exons.
UUGGAUUCGCGCGUAACAGGAGAUAUAAUAGAUUUAUACAAAAUUCAAUUUCUAAGAUUUACGCGCUUAUGAGUUUUUUCAUCAGUCACUAUUAAGUCAAGCAUCAUUUAUGCCGGGAAGAAUCUUCCUCCGCCAUUGCACCGAGGAGAAGAUAUAUUGCCAGUAUCUAUAAUGCAACCUUGAAUGAAUAACAUAACCUUUAUUGAAUGCUCAACGAGCAUCAAGAUUGGAUUUACGACAAGCUUAAGAUUCAACAUCAGUUUCAGUGGAAGAUAUAAUGUAUAUGGUUAAAUGACGACUUAAUCUCACUUAAAGAUUACUUGGAAGAGAAAAUAACGUUGUAACAAUCAAUCAUUCGUAUCCUAUUUAUUCUGAUUUUAUUGAAAGUUUAAUAAUAUAUAAUGCAAUGGGUAUGAUACAAUGGAAAAAUUUUUUGGAU